GCGGACGUGGCGGAACUGGCAGACGCGCUAGACUUAGGAUCUAGUGAGGAAACUCGUGGGAGUUCGACUCUCCCCGCCCGCACAA
RNAcentral lists this transfer RNA (85 nucleotides) under Ignavibacteria bacterium. Its description in RNAcentral is "tRNA-Leu". It matches the Rfam family "tRNA". Rfam says of the family: Transfer RNA (tRNA) molecules are approximately 80 nucleotides in length. Their secondary structure includes four short double-helical elements and three loops (D, anti-codon, and T loops). The record is from RNAcentral. Lineage: Bacteria; Pseudomonadati; Ignavibacteriota; Ignavibacteria.